This 497-nucleotide ribosomal RNA is filed under the name uncultured bacterium. RNAcentral describes it as "partial 16S ribosomal RNA". It matches the Rfam family "Bacterial small subunit ribosomal RNA", at positions 28 to 507 of the family's 1533-position model. The record is from RNAcentral.
GAUGAACGCUGGCGGCGUGCCUAAUACAUGCAAGUCGAGCGAACGGACGAGAAGCUUGCUUCUCUGAUGUUAGCGGCGGACGGGUGAGUAACACGUGGAUAACCUACCUAUAAGACUGGGAUAACUUCGGGAAACCGUAGCUAAUACCGGAUAAUAUUUUGAACCGCAUGGUUCAAAAGUGAAAGACGGUCUUGCUGUCACUUAUAGAUGGAUCCGCGCUGCAUUAGCUAGUUGGUAAGGUAACGGCUUACCAAGGCAACGAUGCGUAGCCGACCUGAGAGGGUGAUCGGCCGCACUGGAACUGAGCCGCGGUCCAGACUCCUACGGGAGGCAGCAGUAGGGAAUCUUCCGCAGUGGGCGAAAGCCUGACGGAGCAAGGCCGCGUGAGUGAUGAAGGUCUUCGGAUCGUAAAACUCUGUUAUUAGGGAAGAACAGAUGUGUAAGUAACUGUGCACAGCUUGACGGUACCUAAUCAGAAAGCCACGGCUAACUACGUG